GAUGAACGCUGGCGGCGUGCCUAAUACAUGCAAGUCGAGCGAACGGACGAGAAGCUUGCUUCUCUGAUGUUAGCGGCGGACGGGUGAGUAACACGUGGAUAACCUACCUAUAAGACUGGGAUAACUUCGGGAAACCGGAGCUAAUACCGGAUAAUAUUUUGAACCGCAUGGUUCAACAGUAAAAGACGGUCUUGCUGUCACUUAUAGAUGGAUCCGCGCUGCAUUAGCUAGUUGGUAAGGUAACGGCUUACCAAGGCAACGAUGCAUAGCCGACCUGAGAGGGUGAUCGGCCACACUGGAACUGAGACACGGUCCAGACUCCUACGGGAGGCAGCAGUAGGGAAUCUUCCGCAAUGGGCGAAAGCCUGACGGAGCAACGCCGCGUGAGUGAAGAAGGUCUUCGGAUCGUAAAACUCUGUUAUUAGGGAAGAACAAAUGUGUAAGUAACUAUGCACAUCUUGACGGUACCUAAUCAGAAAGCCACGGCUAACUACGUG
RNAcentral lists this ribosomal RNA (497 nucleotides) under uncultured bacterium. Its description in RNAcentral is "partial 16S ribosomal RNA". It matches the Rfam family "Bacterial small subunit ribosomal RNA", at positions 28 to 507 of the family's 1533-position model. The record is from RNAcentral.